RNAcentral lists this transfer RNA (69 nucleotides) under Ovis aries (sheep). It matches the Rfam family "tRNA". From Rfam's summary of the family: Transfer RNA (tRNA) molecules are approximately 80 nucleotides in length. Their secondary structure includes four short double-helical elements and three loops (D, anti-codon, and T loops). The record is from Rfam by way of RNAcentral. Lineage: Eukaryota; Metazoa; Chordata; Mammalia; Artiodactyla; Bovidae.
UCUCUGUCCAGUGGUUAGGACUCUGUGCUCCCAAUGCAGGAGGCCUGGGUUCAAAUCCUGGUCAGGGAA